This 274-nucleotide ribosomal RNA is filed under the name uncultured bacterium. RNAcentral describes it as "partial 16S ribosomal RNA". It matches the Rfam family "Bacterial small subunit ribosomal RNA", at positions 523 to 796 of the family's 1533-position model. The record is from RNAcentral.
AUACGGAGGGUGCAAGCGUUAAUCGGAAUUACUGGGCGUAAAGAGUACGUAGGUGGUUUAUUAAGUCAGAUGUGAAAGCCCCGGGCUCAACCUGGGAACUGCAUUUGAAACUAGUAGACUAGAGUAUGGUAGAGGGGGGUAGAAUUUCUAGUGUAGCGGUGAAAUGCGUAGAUAUUAGAAGGAAUACCAGUGGCGAAGGCGGCCCCCUGGACCAAUACUGAUACUGAGGUACGAAAGCGUGGGUAGCGAACAGGAUUAGAAACCCCAGUAGUCC